CGUGACGCUGCAGAUACUUACCAUGCAAGUCAACUUGAACUUCGGUUUGGGUGGCGGACGGGUGAGUAACGCGUAAAGAACUUGCCUCACAGCUAGGGGCAACAUUUGGAAACGAAUGCUAAUACCUGAUAUUAUUAUUUUAUGGCAUCAUAGGAUAAUGAAAGCUAUAAGCGCUGCGAGAGAGCUUUGCGUCCCAUUAGCUAGUUGGAGAGGUAACGGCUCACCAAGGCGAUGAUGGGUAGCCGGCCUGAGAGGGUGAACGGCCACAAGGGGACUGAGACACGGCCCUUACUCCUACGGGAGGCAGCAGUGGGGAAUAUUGGACAAUGGACCGAGAGUCUGAUCCAGCAAUUCUGUGUGCACGAUGAAGUUUUUCGGAAUGUAAAGUGCUUUCAGUUGGGAAGAAAAGAAUGACGGUACCAACAGAAGAAGUGACGGCUAAAUACGUGCCAGCAGCCGCGGUAAU
RNAcentral lists this ribosomal RNA (466 nucleotides) under uncultured bacterium. RNAcentral's name for it is "bacterial SSU rRNA". It matches the Rfam family "Bacterial small subunit ribosomal RNA", at positions 32 to 524 of the family's 1533-position model. The record is from RNAcentral.